UACAUGGGUUGCAAACGUUGCUCGGAAUCAUUGGGCGUAAAGCGCACGUAGGCGGUUCGUUAUGUCGGAUGUGAAAGCCCUUGGCUUAACCGAGGAAGUGCAUCCGAAACUGGCGAGCUAGAGUACUAAAGAGGAUCGCGGAAUUCCCGGUGUAGAGGUGAAAUUCGUAGAUAUCGGGAGGAACACCGGUGGCGAAGGCGGCGAUCUGGGUAGAUACUGACGCUGAGGUGCGAAAGCGUGGGGAGCAAACAGG
Molecule: ribosomal RNA, 253 nt
Filed under: uncultured bacterium
Lineage: Bacteria
Description: partial 16S ribosomal RNA
Rfam family: Bacterial small subunit ribosomal RNA
Source: RNAcentral